CGAAUCUUGUGUCAUCAGCAUAGUUAGUUAAUUCGAAUUCGGCAAAAAUUCGGUACGGGUAUAAUUCGGAUAAAAUUUGUCUUUUAAUUUUUAAAUUUGUUGAUAAAUACGGCUAAAAAAUGGAUUCGGCAAUUAUUCAGAUACGUGAUUUAUACGAAUAUUAUACGUUCACCAAUUAAAAAUUAAGAAUAAAAAAUUCGGCUAUAUAAUAAAUAUAUAAUAAUUAAUAUACUAUAUAUAUUAUUAUUAUAAUUUUUAUAUAUAGAUUAAAUAUAUUUAAAAUUAUAAUAAAUAUAUAUUAAUAAUAUAUAAGAUUUAUAUAUUUAGAAAUAUUAAUAAAUAAUUACAAAUUUAUAAAUAAAAUAUUAUAUAAUAAUAUUUCUAU
This 385-nucleotide long non-coding RNA is filed under the name Ananas comosus (pineapple). RNAcentral describes it as "long non-coding RNA (ACOM_LNC002141)". The record is from RNAcentral. Lineage: Eukaryota; Viridiplantae; Streptophyta; Magnoliopsida; Poales; Bromeliaceae.